GAUGAACGCUAGCGGCAGGCCUAAUACAUGCAAGUCGGACGGGAUCCAUUGAUAGCUUGCUAUCAAUGGUGAGAGUGGCGCACGGGUGCGUAACGCGUGAGCAACCUGCCUCCAUCAGGGGGAUAGCCUCUCGAAAGAGAGAUUAACACCGCAUAAUAUCAACAGUUCGCAUGUUCAGUUGAUUAAAUAUUUAUAGGAUGGAGAUGGGCUCGCGUGACAUUAGCUAGUUGGUAGGGUAACGGCUUACCAAGGCGACGAUGUCUAGGGGCUCUGAGAGGAGAAUACCCCACAAUGGUACUGAGACACGGACCAGAAUACUACGGGAGGCAGCAGUAAGGAAUAUUGGUCAAUGGGCGGAAGCCUGAACCAGCCAUGCCGCGUGCAGGAGGACUGCCCUAUGGGUUGUAAACUGCUUUUGUACAAGAAUAAACCUAAAUACGAGUAUUUAGCUGAAUGUACUGGAAGAAUAAGGAUCGGCUAACUCCGUG
Molecule: ribosomal RNA, 488 nt
Filed under: uncultured bacterium
Lineage: Bacteria
Description: partial 16S ribosomal RNA
Rfam family: Bacterial small subunit ribosomal RNA
Source: RNAcentral